GGGCAGUGGCUUCUGAGCCAUUGGCCCCUUUCACGUUGUGAGUGGCAUCAGGAUGUCUGAGAGGAGAGCAUGGUGUUUUUGCUUCAUUGGAUCCAUGCAGGUCUUGGAGGGUGGUGGCCCACUCUUUCUGGGCCAAGUAGAGGGUGGCUCAGACACCCCCCCUUCCUCCAGGCUUCUCAUCUGUAACUGGUGAAGCCCGGAAGAGCUUGUUGUUCAAGAGGAAAUCUUGUGUUACUUCUUUAUGAAGGACUCCAGCCUGGUGGAGAUGAAUGAGUCCUGAAGAUGGAAUCGAAGCUGUUUGGGCACAAUACUUUAAUCAGCAUUUAAUGACCCAGUCGAAAAUUCAUUGUUUGGACCCAAGCACUGGUGGGAAAGGCAGGAGGGGAGGCCUGCCUUCCUUCCUCCCUCCCGAGCCCUACAGCAGGCCAUGGAGUGGUGAGCGAGUUCGUACAGUGCCAACCACAUUCCCAGAAACUUCCAGCAGAGGUUAAUCCUGCUCCUCUCAGGUGGGCUUGGCCCAUUCUCUAGACUUUGGAAGGUAAUGUUCUAUAGAGGCCUGUUCUGAAGCUUUACCAGGUCAAACCGGAGAAGAACCCAACAAGUAACUCAUCCCAGCCUAACUAUUCUUCAAGGGCAAUCAACCUACAGCAUCCAAGCACAGAGAAAUCAAAUCCAUGGAGAAUCUUCAAAUUAGGCUCAGAAUCCAUUUGGGUCAAUGAAUUUACUGUUAUUAAGAUCUUAGUUGUGUUCAACCAUGAUUUGACAUACCUUAGAGUGAGAAGAUAUUCUUCCUGGCCUCAGACUAGUUGAAGGUAGAGAGAGAGACAGGCCCUUGGGUGUGGGGAGACCUCUCCUGGGAUAAUACACACAAAAAACCAAGAGCUGCUCACUGUGGUGCAGGAGACAGCAGGGCCUGAAGCCAGAGGCUCUGUGUCCUUGAAUACAAUGUUUUACUCCUCUGACCCCUGUUACUGUGAUUUGGAGAGGCAGACAAUAUAGGAUGGGCUUUGCAGGCAGGGAGGUCCAGUUAUAAUCCCAGCUCUUACUAAGUUGGGUAAGACUCACUCUGAGACUUAGUUUCUUCUGUCAUCUCUCAAUAGAAUCAUAAAGGUACUUUCCUCUUAGUGUUGUUUUAAAAUUCAGUAAAAUAAUGCAGGCUUAGCACAGGGUCUGAUGUAAAUUUUCAAUGAAUUAUCGUUGUCAAUAUUGUUCUGGAAAACAAGAGGGCAUAUUAGAAGAUCAAAAGUACUGCCAAGCAUUGAAGUGCCAAUUCUAGAUCCAGUCUCAGCCCUCUGAGAAUGGAUAUCAUUGUUUUCAAGCCAUUCAGAAACCAAUGUGAAUUGAACACCUAGUAUGAGCUCUCUGAGGGAAGAGCCAAGUCAUGCAUUUUUUAUCUUAAGGGGUCUUCAAUACCUCUAGCCCAAAACAGUAUCUCCAUCAGGAUUCUUCUCUGAUAGUGUUCAUUUCUUUUUUCUCAAUGGAUGCCUUAAAAAAAAAAUCCUACAAGGAAACCUGUACUCCUCAAAUACACCACUCAGGUGACCAUUAAAUCAUUUACAUUGUUAAUUUCUUUUCAGAUGUGUGUCUUUUUCCCUAGUUACAUCAUCAGGACCUUGAAGGUAGGGACAGGUCUUAGAUUUCUUGAUGCCCCCAUAAAUCUAGGUACAGAGUAGGUCUCUGGACAUCAGUAUAAGGCCCAUGAGCCUGAUAGCUGCCCAGGUGGGUGCUGUGUGCCUGGGCGUGGGAAGGACAAAAGAGAGGUCACUAAAGGGGUUCCUGGGAAGGAAGAGCCCCUCUGACUUUAAAAGGGAGCCCAUACACUUUUUGGACAACUGGAAUAAUCAGAAAGCUGUUUUUGGGGAGGCAGCAGCCAGAAAAACCUGGGGCAUUGGGUCAACCAAAGCCCUUCCCAAGGCUGCAGUGGCUGCAGCUAGUUAGCCCAGCUUCCCUACCAGCCCCAGGGCUGCAACUGAACAGUGUUGGCUUCUUAAUAAAAACAGCACCAAUGCAAA
This 2012-nucleotide long non-coding RNA is filed under the name Homo sapiens (human). Its description in RNAcentral is "HSALNT0358503". The record is from RNAcentral. Lineage: Eukaryota; Metazoa; Chordata; Mammalia; Primates; Hominidae.